UGCUAGAAGUGCUUACUUGUUAAGCAGCUCAGUGGUGAUCCUGUUUGUUCUGAGUGCAGCAGCAGAACGCUCCAGCUGUGACCUCUUUUCUGGUGCUGCUAGAGGAGUCUGGAUGGGGUAAUCUAAUCCACUGUCCUGCAUUUGUUAGUUCCCUAAGGCCAGCUCUGUAUGAAUCUGCUUUACCCAGAUGAGCCCCUGCAAUCCUACUUUAACAAUGAAGUUAUGAGCUCUAGCCCACGGCUGAGUCCUAAUUCUCAACUCCCACAAGCCCCAGUUGCUCAGCGCACUGUGUCCCCUCCAAUUGCCCUCUGCUUGGUGACAAUUUGUGGAUCCAGAGCUCUCUCAGAUGUGUCCUGGAGAAAGGCUUCCCUGCCUGCGUGGCAGACACCCACCUGUGCCUUUGGGACUCUGCACUGAUAAGCUGCUGUGUCAAUGAGGGAACCCAGCCAGGAGCUCCCUCGCUCUGGGAAAGCCCCGCACGUUCACUCACUUCAAGGAGUCUGGGUCUACAUGAAGGACAAGCCUGUUGAGGAUCAAUCUCAGAGAUGCAGCAGUGGCAUCUCAGGAAUCAUCUACUGAUGCCUCUGCCCAGGGAGGAACUGGGAACGGUGUGUGCUGCCUAACCACCACAGCAACUCUGCUCAGCACUCAGCAAGCUACAACAUACCUGCAGAGGAUGCUACCGGCAGACCCUGACGCUGCAAGGGAGGGCAUGCCACCCUCUUUCAGGAUCAGGCCUCAGUCCACAGGCAGAGAAGUGACCUAAUGGAUGUUUACACAGUGAGGAAGGGGAUCAAGUGGGAGAGACUGUUCACCCUGGCAAGAACUAGGCCCUGAAUUAAUGCUGCAAAGGGGAACAAGCAGUCAGGGACGCUCAGAUGAAACAAGAGAGCAUGAGGCACUUCAGCCUGGCUGUGUGAUGUGGGGGUGGGAGGGAGCAGCGGAUGUCACAUUCUCCUCACUAAAAUCCACGGCCUCCAGCACAGACUAGCUGUGGAGAUCCUGAACCACACGUGAACAAACAGGCUCAGCACAGAGGUCUCCAAUAUUUGGUAGAGUAGAGCAAGGACAAAGUUAUCCCCAUUGCCUCUGCCCCGCUGAGAGAUUGCCAUCCUGCACCAAGCGUCUGGGUUCAGUCACGGUGCAGCAAGAAGUUACUGCAGGAAGAAACUGAUUUUUAAUCUCAUUCCCCGCCUCCUCCACGGGAGAGCCCUACCCAAGCGAGAAGGCAGUGAGCUGGAGAGCAGGAACACCGCAUCAGCUGGACAGAAAAGCUCCAAACGGCAGCACCAGCCAGGGCCACCGUCUGCGGGGAAGAGCAGAAAUGCUCCCAGAGGCACGGGGUACUCUUGCAGCUGCAAUCCUCAGGAGAGGCCCCAGGGAUUUGGGGGGCAGCAUAGCCCGUCAAUGAAGAUCUUUCCCUUACCCAUAACAACCCACUCCCCGC
Long non-coding RNA from Mauremys mutica (yellowpond turtle), 1447 nucleotides. RefSeq lists it as uncharacterized. The transcript has 4 exons. The record is from RefSeq and is a predicted model, not a curated record. Lineage: Eukaryota; Metazoa; Chordata; Testudines; Geoemydidae.